GUAGGUGGCAAGCGUUGUCCGGAAUUAUUGGGGCGUAAAGCGCGCGCAGGCGGUCUCUUGAGUCUGAUGUGAAAGCCCACGGGCUCAACCGUGGAGGGUCAUUGGAAACUGGGGGACUUGAGUACAGAAGAGGAAAGUGGAAUUCCACGUGUAGCGGUGAAAUGCGUAGAUAUGUGGAGGAACACCAGUGGCGAAGGCGACUUUCUGGUCUGUAACUGACGCUGAGGCGCGAAAGCGUGGGGAGCAAACAGGAUUAGAUACCCUGGUAGUCCACGCCGUAAACGAUGAGUGCUAAGUGUUAGAGGGUUUCCGCCCUUUAGUGCUGCAGCUAACGCAUUAAGCACUCCGCCUGGGGAGUACGGUCGCAAAGACUGA
Molecule: ribosomal RNA, 375 nt
Filed under: uncultured organism
Description: partial 16S ribosomal RNA
Rfam family: Bacterial small subunit ribosomal RNA
Source: RNAcentral